UGAGAAUGAAUGAAUUACAACUAUAUACAACAACACAAAUAGAUCCAUUAGGUAUCUGUUGAUGGUAACACAUCACCUCAAAAUUGAGGCAAAAAUUAACACCCAUUUCUGAUCUCUACUGCUGUGGGACAGAGAUUUGGGCACAGCUGAGCUGGGCUUUCUGCUUCAUGGUCUUUUACAGGCUUCAGUGAAGGUGUUGGUGGGCCAACAUCAUAUGAAGGUUCAACUUGGGAAAGCUUGUAUCGCUUUGGACCUGAUGGAUCAAGAAAGGAGCCAUAUGCUUCCAGAAGACUGCUCCCUUGAUUCUAAGAGAGAACACACGAAGGACCAUUUAAGCAAUUAAGUAGCCAGACCUUGUGCCAGGCACUAGAAAUG
RNAcentral lists this long non-coding RNA (375 nucleotides) under Mustela putorius furo (domestic ferret). Its description in RNAcentral is "lncRNA (ENSMPUG00000026124.1)". The record is from RNAcentral. Lineage: Eukaryota; Metazoa; Chordata; Mammalia; Carnivora; Mustelidae.